Molecule: ribosomal RNA, 306 nt
Filed under: Triticum aestivum (bread wheat)
Lineage: Eukaryota; Viridiplantae; Streptophyta; Magnoliopsida; Poales; Poaceae
Description: partial small subunit ribosomal RNA
Source: RNAcentral
GGAGAAGGCUCGAUUUUUCUUCGAUCUACUCGGCGGCGGCCAUUUCCAGGUCCUCCUCCGCCGUGGUGGAUGCUUCCCGUGGAGGUGCUGCUACUGUGGGCGACGCGCGCAACGAGGAGCGCAUGGUCAGUGCCCGUCGCCAUCGCGCUGCUCGGGAUCGCUGUGCGGGGCCGCCGGAUGCGGAGGCAGAGCAAGGCCGUGGCGCGCUUGCGGCUUGUCCUUGACGAUAAGGUCAGGCCCUUUGCCCCCUUCAGCCCCAUGCCGCGUCCCAAUCGCUUGAUAUUGCCCCGCUGUGCUUGUGCUUGA